Long non-coding RNA from Orcinus orca (killer whale), 288 nucleotides. RefSeq lists it as uncharacterized. The record is from RefSeq and is a predicted model, not a curated record. The transcript is spliced from 3 exons. NCBI's taxonomy places the organism in Eukaryota, Metazoa, Chordata, Mammalia, Artiodactyla, Delphinidae.
GACACUUUCUGAACCCUUGAACUGACUUCCACUAAAGAAGCACAGGCUCCAGACGCGCAGGCUCAGCUCAGCAAGCUCCAACUGGAAAGUAUUUCUCCAGAUACCUAAGAGAAAUGACCCAAGCACAGAGUUAUGAAGACUUAUGCCUGAAUAAGAUCUUCCAGAAGGCAGAAUCAGGAAGGAAAUAGAUUUGGGGGUUCACAUUUAUAUCAAGGUGAAACUCAUUAGAAACAAGAAAGCAAAUUGUUGUUUAUAUAGUAGAAAGAAUCCCUUUAAUAAAAUAUUUAA